GUUGGGCAUAGUGGUGCUUGCCUAUAAUCCCAGCAUCCUGGGAGGCUGAGGCAGGAGGAUGGCAAGUUCAAGGACAACUUCAGCAAUUUAGUGAAGCCCUAAACAACUUAGCAAGACCCUGUCUCAA
This 127-nucleotide small RNA is filed under the name Marmota monax (woodchuck). Lineage: Eukaryota; Metazoa; Chordata; Mammalia; Rodentia; Sciuridae. The record is from RNAcentral.